Ziziphus jujuba (common jujube) is the source of this 624-nucleotide long non-coding RNA. RefSeq lists it as uncharacterized. The transcript has 2 exons. The record is from RefSeq and is a predicted model, not a curated record. NCBI's taxonomy places the organism in Eukaryota, Viridiplantae, Streptophyta, Magnoliopsida, Rosales, Rhamnaceae.
CCAGGGUUGGUCUUUGUUUCGGCCAUUGGCUUGAGAGGUUGAGAAUGUUUCGAAGCUGAAGGAGAUAAUUAUAAUAUGCACUGUUUCAGUUUGAAGUUUUGUGAAGGAAGAAAAUGAGGUGGUUUUCAAGAUGUGCGCUGAUAUUAAAUGGUGGUGAUUGGUAAUACAAAAAUACAGGUGUUGUCAAGAUUCACGUGGGAGCUCAGUGGUUAGCACACCACAGCCCGGCCAGUCGACGCUGAGUUCGAGUCUUCGGGGGUAGGGGAUGCCUGGGGCGUGGCCAAAAAAUAAAACAAAUUACAGGUGUUGUCAAACUUGCGUGGGAGCGCAGUGGUUAGAGCACCACAAAAAAAAAGGAAAAAAAAAAAAUCACCACCUUCAAGGAUUACGAGGAUUACGAUCAAACUUCAAGGAAGGCUUUCCUUUUUUAUUUAUUUUGCCUCUAUAUACAAAUUUCAUUUUUCUAAUAAUUAAUGAAUAAUUAAUGUAGAAAGGUGAGGCACCUUCUCCGGCAUACGGAAAAUAAUCCAGGAUGACGGCUAACUCAUUUGAUAUUUUUCUUUUUAUCUUUUGGUCAAUUUCUUAUUUCAUAUUUGGCAUCUGGUUGACUUUUCUUAUGUCUUU